Molecule: long non-coding RNA, 284 nt
Filed under: Mytilus galloprovincialis (Mediterranean mussel)
Lineage: Eukaryota; Metazoa; Mollusca; Bivalvia; Mytilida; Mytilidae
Source: RNAcentral
GUUGGCUUUAGAUGAAUUUGGCUAUUUAUUUUAGGUAUUUUUGACAUAUAGCUCUUCAACGAUUUUCGGUACUUAUACAUCUCCGGAUUUCAAAUGUUUGGCUUUGAGCGUUCCUGAUGAAGGUAAAUCCAGAAAAGCGCUUCGGACGCAAUAAAUUAUUUAACGUGUUGUUUUCCAUUUUUUAUAGCUGACUAUGCGUUAUGGGCUUUGUUCUUUUUUUUAUAUUUAAUAUGAAAUAAAGCAGCAAUCAACUUGCAAAUCAAUAAUACAUCAUUCUGUUUACG